This 78-nucleotide ribosomal RNA is filed under the name Khaya anthotheca. RNAcentral describes it as "partial 26S ribosomal RNA". It matches the Rfam family "Eukaryotic large subunit ribosomal RNA", at positions 1 to 77 of the family's 3401-position model. Lineage: Eukaryota; Viridiplantae; Streptophyta; Magnoliopsida; Sapindales; Meliaceae. The record is from RNAcentral.
GCGACCCCAGGUCAGGCGGGAACACCCGCUGAGUUUAAGCAUAUCAAUAAGCGGAGGAAAAGAAACUUACCAGGAUUC